Molecule: ribosomal RNA, 213 nt
Filed under: uncultured bacterium
Lineage: Bacteria
Description: partial 16S ribosomal RNA
Rfam family: Bacterial small subunit ribosomal RNA
Source: RNAcentral
CUAAUGUACCCCUUACUCUGGGAUAGCCGAGGGAAACUUCGGGUAAUACCAGAUGAUAUAACUGUGUCGCAUGGCAUAGUUCUCAAAGAGCAAUCGGUUAGGGAGCAGGCGAUAUCGUAUCAGCUUGUUGGUGAGGUAACGGCUCACCAAGGCGACGACGCGUAGCUGGUCUGAGAGGACGACCAGCCACAUUGGGACUGAGACACUGCCCAG